Non-coding RNA from Heterocephalus glaber (naked mole-rat), 9695 nucleotides. The record is from RefSeq and is a predicted model, not a curated record. Lineage: Eukaryota; Metazoa; Chordata; Mammalia; Rodentia; Bathyergidae.
CGGCUUUUCAUCUUCCGUGGUGUUUCCAGAGCCCUGGCAUCUCCGCUGGGCUGCGGCCUUCACCCGAGGCGCUCCCAGGACUUCUGCCGCAGCCAGCACAUCCCCCAGCAAGGCUGGGCCCAGCACCCCCUCAUAGGCAAAGGGAGAAAACUGGAGAGGGAAGGUUUCCUGGGACCAGGAGUCUGGGGCCAGGCUCUUCCAGAGGAAAGGAAAGGAAACCAGACUCCUCCGGGGAGGAAGGCCAGGAGGGGGUUCUUCGGGCAGGCACAGGGAGUCCGAGGCCGUCCUUCUGAACGGGAGAGGAGACACACUCCAGGGACAUGGGAUCCAACACUGUUUUCAGAAGAAUCUGAGGGAAUUUAACCUGGCCCAUGGGAUGAGGACCAGCCUGUGGCCUCUGCACUAGACCAGAAUCCUGCACUAGAUGGGCUGGGAGCACACGACAUUUCAGACUACUCACACAGCUCUCCUGAAGUAAGAACAAUGGAGCCAGCAUCUUGAGCCCACACCAGAAAGUAGAGGAACUACAAGUCAGAGAUAUACCACUUGCAACCUCUGCCUACCACCCACCUAUAAGGACAAGGACAUUGGACCUUGCUAUGAGUUCUGUGCCAAUUCCACGGACCCAGGACAGCUCCAUUGUAGCCAACCAUUUCUGGAGGGUCUGCAUGGCUCCACCAUGGUGAGACCCAUGCUAACUCCCAAAGGUAAGAUACUGUAUCUGCUGUCUGUGCCACUCUGUAUCCCCCACUAAAGCCCUGGCACUGCCCUCCCCUGAUAAGACCUCCAAGUCAGGAGCCAUCCUCCCGGUUGCAGAUAUGCUGGCUAGAGAGGGCUCUUGGCAUUUCUGUCAGUCUGUGCUGUCUCAGCCAGGGUAUAGCUUGACUUCCACCUGUGCAGAGGACUGUGCCAAGCCACAUGCCUGAGAAGAUGAUCCAGAGAAUUCUUGGGCCAGAGCAGUCAAGGCCCCAGUGUGCUUCAGCACGUCAUGGGAGUCAUAGUAACAGUUUAGAGCUCAGGGUUCCCAAAGUUUGGGGCUCUCAAUGGGUGAGAAGAAUUUUAUUCCAGCAAUCCUGGAGGGUCUGAGGAAGGUAGGAGGCUGGGGGACGUGUGGUGUGUGUGCUGGAGACCCCUCCUCCCUCAUCACUGCUCCACAGAUCUGCUGUAUGCUGCACAUUUGGAGCAUCAUCCUCUACCUGUGGCUGUCUUGGUUUACUCCUCAGUCAGGUAUAGGUAUGAGUUCAGAGCUCUCCCUGGCAGCAGCAAAGGAUUCAGGGGACAUGGCCUGAAUAAAUUAAUUCCCAUCCCCACUCCAGUGCUCACAUGGCUCAUUAUCCUGCUCUCGGCCUCAGUCACCACUAGCACUGCCUUGUCCAUCUCAGACAUCUCCACCAAUGGCACAGUUUAUUCUGGUCUGCUAACCAUAUUAUUUCUCGGAUUGUGCAGUCCUGUCAGGAUUUGUGAGAUCACAGACUAGCUCAUCCUUCCUCUCCUGUCAGAUAGCCAAUACUUUCUGAACUCACAGUGCCUGGGUCCACAGCUUGGCAGUUUCAUGGGGAUCAUUAUUGCCUUUGCCAACAUCAAGCUGUGGCUAUGUACACAGUGGGCUUUGCAGAGACCCUCUUGGAUUGGCUCCGGGUAGGUAGUGCCUAUCCUUUCUUUUUGUGCUCUUCUCUCAAGUUUGCUGACCUUGGAAGGUCUAACCUGCACUGUGGCUCCAGCAUGGGCAAAUCAUUUCAAAAAUCACAUGGAGGCAUUGAAUCAGCCAAGGACUCCGUAAUGUCUGUGUUUUGCCCUUCUAGGAACAUGGGGUGCAGCUGCUGAACGUGGAUCCAGAAGAUAUGUGGGUGGUGGGCAUGGUGACAGUGAUUAUCUUUCUGGGUGAGGCACUGGCCAGCAUACAGUGGGAAUCUUUUUUUUUUUUUUUUUGUACCUGGGAUCGAACUCGGGACUGUGCACUUGUGAGGCAGGCAGCGGAACCACUGAGCUAAAUCCCCGGCCCUUCAGUGGGAAUCUAAGGCAGUUGCCAGAAAACUGAAGUGGAUGAGACAAAGAGGACAUGGAGUAGUUAACCCUUCCCUCCCGCUCACGUUUCUCCCACCUCUCUUUUUGUCACCCAUGGUAUUUCAGACCCAAAUUAUCCUCUUCUUGAUCCUCCCUUGUCAACUACCUGCUGGGCACACUCAUCCCUACAAACCCCAGUCAACAAGCCAUUGGCUUCUUUGGUAUCAAGGAACUGGGCUGGAAAAUAUAUUAAAGGGAAUAAAUGUUUCAGAAUAUCACUCAUACCCUUUGCAAGAGGGGCCUCAUUAGCCCAGGAAAAUGUCUCAAAAAAGAGUCCUUGAUUUCCAAGUCUGCUUCUCACUUGCGAGUUGCCCAUCAGACCAGUCAGAGUAAUGUAAGUCUUCUGAGUUGGCUAGUUUCCCUCUUCUUUCCAGCCUAACCUAAGUCACUGGCACUAAGCUGGGUAGUGGGUAAUACGGAUCCUGGCUGAGUGAAGAGAAGACAGGAAUAGCCCCUCUUUAUUCUUUCACACAGGAAGUGUUUUCUUGGCAAACAUGGUCCCACAGGGGUGUGGUUCAGAGGGCAGUUUCUUCAGUAUGUUUUUCCAUAUUAUUCCCCUCAGCCACUGGAGUCCUGGCUAGACCCAGUAUUUCUGGAGACUUCAAGGUGAGAAGGCUGUUCAGCCAGGGGCACACCCUUUGCUGCCCCUCUCUUCUGUCCACCAAUGGUCCAGUGUUUGUUCCCAAGACCCUGCUACCGCUGUCUCCAAGGGGACCCUCCUUGCCAUUAUGUGGACUGUACUCCCCUAUCUGGGCAUCGCCGUGACCACUGAGAAGGCCUUCUACUCUGGCCUUCUGUGCAGAAUGACCUGGAGCCCCAGUUUUUGCUCCCUAAAAGACAGGGUAUAGAUGAUACAAUCAGCAAGAAGCAUUCAUCAGCCACAAUAAAGUUAAGUGUACGGGCAGGUAACCUCCAGCCCCCCUCCCUCCAACCUUCAUUUCUUCCCACCACUCACAUUGUUAAUGAACCGUAUAAUGGUUUUUGGUUAACAUAUUCCCUUCCCACCCUCCUAUGCAUGUACACGUCCGUUGCCCCUCUUGAUGCUGGUGGUACCUACACAGCCCUACUGUUUGGGAUGGAGUUUUCUCCCCAUGAAGGAAUGCCUAACUUUAGUCUUAUUUCCAAGCUCCUGUAUGAUUGAGAGGCUUCCUGGAAAUAGCACUGACAGGGCUGUGUGGAAUGAUAGCAGCCUUGGGCCAGAGUGCCUCUUCGGCUGGGAUUUUAGCAGCUGUCAGGACCAAACGUCCUGACUCUAUGGGCUCGCCAGUCACUACCUGGUAAGUGAACAAGCGGGGAUAAUUACAUAAACUUUCUUAUUCUCAGGCAUAGAGGAGAUGCUCAAAAGCCACUAAUGUUUUAAGUGGAUUCAUGUGAGGGGGACAAAACCUUUAAAAAUGUGGAUAAAAUUUAAUCUGCCUUGUAAUUUAUGGGAAAACCAGGUGAAGUGAGCGGAAUACACUGCUUCAGGAAUGUGUGGAUUCUGGCUCCUCUGGCCUGCUCAGGCCGUGAGCGUGGUGUCUGCCUUCAGUCCCCCGGAAUCAUCAGUGUCAUCCUGUCCUCUGCCUUUUCCUGUCCUUGCUUUCCCACAUUCCCAGGGCCUUCUCACACCCUACUCCUUCUAUCCUUUCUUAUUAAGACCUGUAGGAUCCUUCAACUUCUCCCUCUAAUUCCCACUCUCCCAGAGGAAUAAGGGCUCUCUCUUUCUCCCUCUCUCUGGGAGACCCACCAUGUGUUUUCAUGGUGGCUAUUCCAGAAUAAACUGCACCAUCAUGGCAAGAACUAGAAGCCUGUGCAGGAUUAGCUGCUUGCCUUCCUCAUUGCUGUGGGUUUCAUCCUUAUUGUUGAGUAUGCCCUACCUCACUUUCCAACUAGGCACUGCUCAUCACUUUUCCUGUUACACCUCCCACAGCCCUGACUCUGGCUUUGAGGGCCUCAUGCUGACCCCUCAUUUCUCUCUCUCUAGUCCUCAACUCGGUGAAACUGUCUCAUACUUGGUAGGAGAUGAAAAAGUCGAACGUGGUGGUGAGUGGUGGUACAUACAUGUGAGGUGGAGUGAAGAGCAAGGAGUGAAGAAUGAGAGGACAGGGAAAGGGAAGCCAGAUGGCAUACUUGCCUCUCCAGACCUGGAUCCCAUGACUCUAGUUUGGAGACCAACCCUCUGACAUCUCAUUUUUUCCAAAGCUGAGCUGAAUAUCAUUGCCCCCAUCUUCUCCAAAUUUUUCUUCUGUUCCUAUGCCCUCAUGAACUUCAGCUACUUCCAUGCCUCCCGUACCUAGUUGCCUGGUUGGUCUGGGCAGGUACUGGGGUCCAGGGAUUCAAAGACUUGGGGGGUUGGGAGAGAAUCCCUGGGGAAUAAUAAGUGGUACUGUGGCCGAGACAAGGGAUGGCCGGCACUUUCACUCUCCUACAGGCUGGCAACCUUCCUUCUUCUGGUACAGACCCUCGCUUUCCUUCCUGGGCACUCUGCUCUGCCUGCUCAUGAUGUUCCUCCUCAUUUGAUGGACGGCACUCAUUGCUAUGUUGCUUAUCCUUCUGCCGUUGCUCUGGAUGUUCUACAAGAAAGCAGAUGUGAACUGGGGCUCUUCAGUCCAGGUGAGCACCUAUCGCCUGGCUUGGUUGAGCUCCAUGAGCCUGACCAAUGUGCAGGACCACUUUUAGAACUUCAGGAACCCCAACCCAUUCAGGAGCCUGAGAAUCAUGUCAAGUGUCUGAACGUCUGGAAGAUUCACUCCUCCUAGAGUCGUAUCUUCCCUAGGCUUUGUUCUGGGGCCCAGAGCCUCAUGCAGGUCAGCCUGCCAAAUUCAAUCACUUCUUAUCCUUCCCUGUCCAACAUACUAUAUCCCCUUCUUUCUUCAUUGCAUUUCCAUUCAGGUCUCAGGCCAACUGAAGUCCAAUUUGCUGGCCUUGGGAUAUAAGCAAAAUUGGCAGGAGGCUGUAUUUCCCAUGGAGGAUUAUGUAGGCAUUAUAUAGUAAGUGUGGGAUGGUGAAGGGGAAGAUGAGCAUAGAAAUGAUCAGGAACUAGAAAUGGGAAUGACAAAUCCCAUUCUGCUGCCCGGCGUUGCCCAUGUCCCCAGGAAGGGAAUACCCCUCUUCAGCUCUUCCUCCUAUUUUUUUUCCUCCUAUUUUUUUAAACCUCCCCCUCCUCCUCCCAUAAAGUGAUGCAACUAUGGGGUCUGCCUCGUAAGGAUGCCAGGAGGGUUAAGUGUGACUAUCCAACAUCAUCCUCAAGGUGAAUCAGAAGAGGUGAGCCUAAGGGAAAGAGAGGGUGUGGGAGGUAUAGAAAUUCACCAUUAAAGUCUGGGAGUCAAGUGAACCAUCUACAGUUAACAAGACCUGAGACAGAAUAGAAUUGGGGACCAGAUGUAAGAAAAAUGAAUUUUGCUUUGAAGAUUCUACCUAGAGGUUUAGUUUUCCUGAAACUGUAGGGGAUGGAGAGGGCUUUAAAGAUGUCAUGUAAGUUCACAGGGAAGAAAUGUGAAUCAAGAGCUACAAGUAGCAGGAUGCACUAGUGUGAUCCAGAGGGGAUAUGGUCUAAUUCUCCAGCAGAGUUUCUGGGACUAUCCCAACUCUAAUAGUAUACAUCUUCCUAGCUUAAUUUUGGCACGUCCUCACUGAAUGGGAGGGUCCAACAAAAGGUACAAAAAGAUAAUUCUUUUUUGUUAUAACUCCAUCUUUUCCAGUAAAUCCAUGGUGUUUGGAUGCCAAAGUAAUGAACACUCAGUAGAGGGAGGAGACAGAGUCUCCUUUAUAGGAAAUAAAGUUGGAGAGUGAAGAGAAGAAGCAGGCACCCAGGAAAGUAAAUAGAAAAGGGAAUGCAGUUAGUCAAUGGGGAGAGACACCAUGACAUUUCUCUGGAAUAGCAACAGUUCUGUCAGGGGAGGGGAAGGUAAGGUACUGGGUUCAAGCAGUUGAUCAGCUGGAUAAGGAAUCUGUCUCAGGCUUCUCCUUUCUUUGGGCAGCUUCCCUAUACCAGAAGCUUCAAACUAUAUCCCAGCGCGAGCAGGACAUGUCCUGCAGACAGUGGACAUGUACUGGCUCAGUAAUGAUGAAGGCAGGGACUCUAUGACUCCAUAAGAAGUUCCAUUUCUCUCCAAGUUCCAGGAGAGAACAGGAAGAGGAAAUUAGUGAUUAAGGGGAAAACAAACUCUGCAUUUACAAAACACCCAGUGUUCCCUCUCACUUCAGAAGCCUUCAUGCUUUUCUUUCUCAGCCUCAUGAAAAGGUGGGAAGGAAGGCUGCCCACCUCUUUUUUUCUUUUGAGACAGGAUCUCAGUAUGUAAUCCAAGCUGGCUUUGAACUAUGUAGCUCAAGCUGGCCUUGAACCCAUAGGGAGCCUCCUGUCUCAGUCUCCCAAGUGUGAGGAUUACACUUGGGAGAAUGCCUGCUGCAUCUCUUUUCUUAUCUUCACAGGGCUUAUACCGAUACCCUAUGUACUUGCAUGAAGGAAAAAACAGACUUGAUGUCCUUUAAGACUUUUUGUGAGCAGCCUCCAUGAGCAGCUGGAGGAAAAAUGCAGUGAUUGGAUCACAGAACCCCAAAGUUAUGGCCAGGGGCCUACAAUGCAGAAGACAGUAAGGGGAGGGAAGUUUAUUAAGACACUUCCUGUAGAUGGAAGGAUAAAAAUAAACCAGUAAAUAGGCAGAAUAUCUAGUUUCUGGGUUAGGAAUGUACAGGCCCUGGGUUUGAUCUCUAGCAUCACUGAAAAAUACAGCUCCUGUCUUGUCUUUCCCUAGGAUAUGUUCCCUCCUCAGAAGGCUCAGGCUUGGCUUCCAACAUGUGACAGUACUGCCUGAUCUCACAGGCAAACCUUGAAAGAAGAGGUCAGAUCUAAGUCCCCUGCCUUAUACAUUUCUCUUUCUGUCUUCUGGCUUCAUAGUUAAGAACAUAAAGAAACAAGUGUCAGAUAAGUUAUAACUUAACUGUGUAUGUGGAAAGCAAUGGUGAUACUGGAAAGAGGAGGUGAAAUGUGAUGAAAGAUGACUGCUGUAGGAAUAUAGCUGUGGAGAAACAGUAGCUUUAGUUUCUGUCUGGAUCUCAAUGGGCUUAUGAUCACCAGUUUGGAAGAAAUGUAAGAUUAGGCAGCAAAAUAGAGAAAAACUGAAGAGUAAAGAAGCCCUAUUUCUCAAUUCCUGAAGACCAAAAUUUUACAUGAUGGAUAUUUUCUCCUUCCUGCUCAAUCAGAGAUUUUGGUUCUCUGCAGUCAAAAGGCUUUUGAAAACUUGGUGGCUUUAUAUCAGUUCCAAUAGCCACCAUCAAAGGGGGAUCUGGAAUCUACCUGCCUCUUCAGUACUCCUUCACCUUCAGGCUACUUCCUGGAGCAGAACUUGCAGGCAAACCAAAAGAAGGUGUGUAGAACAGUGCCAAGUGGGGCAGCUCUCCCCGAGAGGCACCUGAUAAUGGCACCUCACCCUGUCUCUGCCUAUUCAUUCUAACCAUGUAAUCAGAGUGGCACAUGUGUCUUCAUGAAGUACUAUGGCAAUAUUCCUGGGAUGCCACCCUCAUAGUCAUGUGAGUCUCAGGAAAUUUCAAAAUACAGGGGCAUAGAUUCCAGGGAUAGGGAUCUUCCCAUGACUAGGUAAGCUGAGGAACAGACUCUGUCUCAUAAUGCCUUUCCUACCUGAAGCUUAUCUGUGAUCCCUUUGACAACCUGUCCCGGGGCCCUGUACCUGACCUGGCUAGAGAUGCUGUCCAGGGACCAGACAUCCCCCAUUGCCUUCAUUUGUAGAAAUCAAGAGGAUGCCCUUACUCUAUCCUGCCCUGUCAGAGCUGUAGGAGAGGAGACUGAGCCAGGGCUCAAGGAGUUUUGAUUUUACUUUUUAUUUCUUUCCUUCUUUCCUUUUUUGUGGUGCUGGGGCAAGAACCCAAGGCCUCACAUGUGUCAGGCAACUAACUGCUUUACCACUAAACUACAUACUAGCCUGACUUUUGUUUCUUAGUUUCACAAACUUAGAAGUCAUCCUUGAGAAUUCUCAGGCAAGAGCUCAAGGCUUCCCAAGGAAAGAACUCCUCUACUAAGCAACGUGAACUGAGGCUACAGUGCUGAAGGUCCUUCUUCCAAGAUCCAUUCCACCUCAUAAUAUUAAUAAAUCAAUACCUCAGGAUGUAUAGUAAUACAGCUGCCGUCCAUUUACCAAAUUAACUCUCUAAGCUUAGACAGAGAUCACUCUUAUUCCCAAACAUAUUCAAAGGGAGGAUUUUAACCUCUACUUGCAACCCUCUCCAUCUCCCACCUUAGUCUCUAAAUUUAAGUCUCCAUUUCUCAGUGCAUUUUUAACCAAUUUAUGUGUCUAUCCCUCGUAAAUAAAAAAGUAUACACAGCCACUUUCUAUUUAGUAAAACAUGAGAAAUUAACUCUUUCCCGAAACUCACACGAUCCCUCCUUUUUAUCUUUUGGUUCAAGUCUUACUUUACAAUCCUCUGAUCCUAUCUUUGAUUUACUUUCCUAUCAACUUAUUCAUUUGUUCACAAACUGAAUGCCCAGUAGAUGUCACUCUCUUGAGUACUGGAUGAUAGAGCAAUGCAUGAAACACGAUAAAAAUGCCCUGUUCCCAAUGGUGUUUAUAGUCUAAUAUAAAUAGAACAAUUACAAGUAGGAAGAAAAGUAAAACAGGAAGAGGGUUUGGAAGUGCUAGAGAAGUGAGAAUUUAAGCAGGGUUGUCAGGAAGUUUUCACUAAAAGAAGCUGAGCAGGGUUAAAAGAAUAUAAAGGAGUGAACUUCACCUGGGGAAGAGCAAAGGAGGAGGAGCAAAAAUAAAGGCCUUGAGGGUCAGCAUAUCUGCAGUCCUUAAGCCCUUUCCCCUCCCCCAUGCCCAUUAGGAACUGGGUUUCAAAGCAGGUCGUGAGCAGUGUUGCGGGGUGUGUGUGUGAAGACUCAUCUGUGCUUCAGCGGCUCCCCAUCGCUUGCAUUACUGUCUGAACUCUGCUUGUAGUCAGAUCAGCAGUGGCACUAGACUGUCGUGGAAGCAAGAACCCCACUAUGAACUUUGUACUCAAGGAUCUAGGUCGCACACUCCUUAUGAGAAUCUAAUGCUUGUUGCUCUGAGGUGGAGCUGAGGUAGGGAUGUGAGCGCCAGGGUGUGGCUGCAAAUACAGAUUAACAUUAGCAGACUGCACAGAGACUGGAAAAAAUCAAUUGCUUACAGACUUGUAUCAGGACCCUACCAGUGAGUGGCAGGUGACAAUUAAGCUGCAUCUGGUGGCAGGCUUUAUAUCAGAAUCUUAGACUUUAGUCUGCUUGUGGCCUGCCCAUUAUUUUAUUUAGCACUUCUUUCACUUCUUUCCUGUACUGUGCAUUUGUCUCAGUCAGUUUUGGUUAAGCCCAUAAGCUAACCUUAGCCAAAACAGGUAAAAACAAGUGUCAUCAGAGUUUCUUUCAAAAGAGGGAAAGAGCCUCGGAACCAUGCCACUUUCCUGUUCUGUGAAAAAAAUUGUCUUCCAUGAAACUGGUCACUGGCACCAAAAAGGUUGGGAACCACUCCCCUAAGGAAUAACCAAAAGGUCAAUGUUGCUGAGAAGAAAGAAACGGAAGUAGCAGGAGAUAAGACCAAAGUGGAUGUGGGGAAGGGCAAGGCAUAUCAAGCUUUUUUUUUGUUUUUGAGACAGUCUCACUAUACAGUUCAGGCUGGCCUUGA